This 473-nucleotide long non-coding RNA is filed under the name Equus caballus (horse). RNAcentral describes it as "lncRNA (ENSECAG00000060036.1)". The record is from RNAcentral. Lineage: Eukaryota; Metazoa; Chordata; Mammalia; Perissodactyla; Equidae.
AGUGAUGCAGGGGGAGAUUUGACAGACAGAACAGGAGGAUACACAAGACAAGGAAGGAGGAGGUUGAAGUGAUGCAUCUACAAGCCAAGGAAUGUGAAGGAUCGUUGGCAGCUGCCAGAAGUUAGGAGACAGCAUGAAAUGGAUUCUCUCCUGUACUCCCCCAAGCGGACCAACCCUGCCCACCCUUCAUUUUGGACUCCAGGCCUCCAGAACUAUCUGAUUCAUCAAGAACAGUGACGUCCUUAAGGCUGAAUAUAGAUCUUUGGGACUCAGAGCUGAUCAACACCUUCUCCAGCAAUAUCACUGGUGUUGAUGGAAAAGAAAGUUGGCUGAAAUGCCAAGGAAGAAGAGCCUGUGCAAACACUGAGAUGGGUUUACGAAGGAAACCGGCGAAAGCAGUGUCUGAAAAUUCAAGAGAUGCGGCAGCAAUUGUUUCAAGAAACAGGAAGAAAUCAACAGCAUUAACUAUUGGC